RNAcentral lists this ribosomal RNA (871 nucleotides) under Asterodon ferruginosus. Its description in RNAcentral is "eukaryotic LSU rRNA". It matches the Rfam family "Eukaryotic large subunit ribosomal RNA", at positions 66 to 915 of the family's 3401-position model. Lineage: Eukaryota; Fungi; Basidiomycota; Agaricomycetes; Hymenochaetales; Hymenochaetaceae. The record is from RNAcentral.
UAACAAGGAUUCCCCUAGUAACUGCGAGUGAAGCGGGAAAAGCUCAAAUUUAAAAUCUGGCGGUUUUACCGUCCGAGUUGUAAUCUGGAGAAGCGUUUUCCGCGCCGGACCGUGUACAAGUCUCUUGGAAUAGAGCGUCAUAGAGGGUGAGAAUCCCGUCCAUGACACGGACUACCGGUGCUCUGUGAUACGCUCUCGAAGAGUCGAGUUGUUUGGGAAUGCAGCUCAAAAUGGGUGGUAAAUUCCAUCUGAAGCUAAAUAUUGGCGAGAGACCGAUAGCGAACAAGUACCGUGAGGGAAAGAUGAAAAGCACUUUGGAAAGAGAGUUAAACAGUACGUGAAAUUGUUGAAAGGGAAACGCUUGAAGUCAGUCGCGUCUUGCAGGACUCAGCCUUGCUUCGGCCUGGUGUACUUCCUGUAGGACGGGUCAACAUCGAUUUCGAUCCGGCGGACAAAGGAUUAGGGAAUGUGAUAUCCUUUCGGGGAUGUGUUAUAGCCCUUUUUCGUAUACGCCGGUUGGGAUUGAGGACCGCAGCGCGCCUUUAAUGGCCGGGGGUUAAACCCACGUACCGCGCUUAGGAUGUUGGCAUAAUGGCUUUAAGCGACCCGUCUUGAAACACGGACCAAGGAGUCUAACAUGCUUGCGAGUGUUAGGGUGGAAAACCCUUGCGCGUAAUUAAAGUGAAAGUUGGGAUCCUCCGCAAGGGGGUGCACCGACGCCCGGCCCUGAAGUUUACGGACGGUGCUGCGGUAGAGCACGUAUGUUGGGACCCGAAAGAUGGUGAACUAUGCCUGAAUAGGGCGAAGCCAGAGGAAACUCUGGUGGAGGCUCGUAGCGAUUCUGACGUGCAAAUCGAUCGUCAAAUUUGGG